ACUUUAUUCAUCCCUCAGAGGGAAAUUGUUAAUUGUUUUUUUUUUUUUUUUUAGAUUUGCUAAGUGGAGCACAGGAUGUGGUGAGGUGUGUGUUUAAGUUUCCAGAGAAACAGUGUUAAGGAAAUGUUUUUCUUACAAGUGGCCUCGGUGCUGAUAAGUUUAUGAUGUUCAGCUUUAGGCAGCAGUUAAAGUUCAACAGUUACAAACAUUAUUUACUUUACUAAUUUUUAAAUGCUUGUCAUGUCUGAACAAUGAUUUUAAAUCCCCCAAAAUAUCAGAAAUGUUCACGAGGCCUAAAACAUUAAUCGACUUUCAUUCUUGCUGCAGAUUAUUUUUACUGUCGACCGACUAAUUGUUGAAGCACUUUGAGCAUCUCAGCAUCUAAACAAAGAAAAGACAGAGGAUAUUUAUUAGUUUGAAGGUUCAUUUGUGACCGUGGGAACACAUUUAUUAACAAGGAAUAUUUUUGUUAGAGGCCAACAGCUAAGUUUUCUUGAGGUUUUGAUAGCACCUCUCCUCACUUACACUGUGGUCGAAGUGAGAUUAUGACGCGAGCAAAGCAAACCACUGACCGAGAUCCCCACCAGCAUCAAAAACCACAGGUCCACUGCAUGUCUGUUUGCUUUCUGUAUUUUUGAGGGCACCAAGCAUUUGCCUGCCUUGCCUCUUGGCAAGCAGCUCCCCUGGGUAUGAUUGUGAACCUGUUCCUGGUAUUUGCACCACAUCGUCUGUCUGAGUGUGUUCCUGAAGGAUCAGGUGACGGCAGCUCACUCUCUACUGAACCACAGUGCUGAUGAAUUCAAUCUGCUUCUAAAACACGUCUACACUCUGUGCACAUUAGUAGGCCAGCAAGAAAAUGUUUUCUGCUUAUCUCGCACCUGUGACUGUCUUGGGCGCCACUCUGUCUGUUACUGCUGUAAAACAAGUGGGUUAUCUCUCAUGCACUGCAUGGGCUAUGGUACUCUGAUGGCACUGUAAUGAGGAGAUGUGUGAGGGAAGGUGUCAGUGCAUGUAACAUUAAGAAGAGGAAUAGGCUAACAUGAGAUAAGAAGAUGACAUCAGUAGAGCUCAGGCCUGCAAAACAAGGGAGCAAAAGGAUGAGUUUGA
Long non-coding RNA from Toxotes jaculatrix (banded archerfish), 1107 nucleotides. RefSeq lists it as uncharacterized. The transcript has 2 exons. The record is from RefSeq and is a predicted model, not a curated record. NCBI's taxonomy places the organism in Eukaryota, Metazoa, Chordata, Actinopteri, Toxotidae.